CAGUCGUAUCGACGAGAAAUCAGCUCUUCGAGUGCGAACUUGUGGGCGUGCGUGAGCUUCGGUCUCGCUGUUUGCAACGUUUGUGCUUUUUGGGUGUACUUUUUCGUAUGAUAGGCCAACAUCAGUUUCGAACACCGUAAAAUGACCGGCGGAAUGUAGCUUCGAUCUCGUAUUGAAGUGUUAUAGCCUCUGGUAGAUGUGGUGAUCGGGACUGAGGAUUGCAACGAAUACCCUUCGGGCUAUCCGUCUGACCUCUGAAGGUUACUUAGGUGCCGAAAGCUUGCUUACGGUUAUUUAAGUUGACAGUCAAAAGGCUAGAACGUGAUUAAA
This 330-nucleotide ribosomal RNA is filed under the name uncultured Glomeromycotina. RNAcentral's name for it is "eukaryotic LSU rRNA". Lineage: Eukaryota; Fungi; Glomeromycota. The record is from RNAcentral.